UAUUAUAUUAAUGUAAAGAUUAGUGUAUAAUUAUGUUUGUAAUUAUAUUUUUCUAUAAAUAAAUAUCUUUGUGGAUUAGAAAAUAAUAAAUAUCUUUAUUGAAUGUGUUUGCAAGAAAAUUACUGGCAGCUUGUUCCAAGUGAAGGUCAGGAGGGAGACUUGGCCCAACCUACCAAUUUAUGGUACAGAUGCACGCCCCCAACACCCCCGGGCUUGCAAUUAAUGCUUUAGCCUCAUCCAGUGGUCUGGUGGAUUUGUAGAAUCUUUGAAAAAAUGAAAGAUACUAAUCUUAUCCUAAAGGAGUAAGUUAAAAUAAUAGUUAAUUUAGAGGCGUGUCUUGUGGGUUGAAACUUGAAAGUAUGUAAAUUGACUUGUGAUUGUGCCAAUCAAUUAAGAUUGAAAAACAUUAAUGCUGUGAGUAACCAUCCCCGCGCAACCAUCGCGCACCAAUCUGACGUGGCAAGUCAAAAGUCAGUCUUGACUUUAAUAAGCGGUAAGCGAAAAUUUUGAAUUCAUUAAAUCAAAACUAUGCGUUUAAUAAAGAAGCAGAUAUGCGUUCCCCUUCUCUCCUCCCUUCCCCUUCCUCUCCCCCUCCCGAACCCUACCCUUUCUCUCCUCCCUUCCCCUUCCUCUCCCCCUCCCGAACCCUUCCCUUUCUCCUUCUCGUUCUCCUCCCUUCUCCUUCCCCUUCCCCUUCCCCUUCCCUUUCAUAUAUUUUGUUUAGAUUUUUCUUCUUCUUCAUCCAUUCCGCACCAUUCUCCCAAAUCCCUCCGUCUUCAACCUAGCCCCUCUCUCUCUCACUCUCUCGACCUCUCUCUCACCACCGUGGGUCUCUAUUUCUCUCGCUCUCUCUCUCUCUCUCUCUCUCACAGACGGUGGCGUGGGUCUCUCUCUCUCUCACUCUCACUAUCUCUCUUCGGCCACAGCUCCAAGAUCAACUUCGGCGUGGGUCUCGACUCUCCAAGACGGAGGUAUGUUCCUUUUCAUAAAACCCUUCAGAUCAACUCAUAAUUUAUUCACAAGGCCAUACCUGUGCAUCAUGAUUCAUAACCCCAAUACAGACCUACACAGAAAUUAAUAAUAUCAUUUGCUAGCAAAUAACCUUCUGUUGUGUGUAUUUUUAUAUUCGGAUUUGUUGGGCUGUAAUUGCGCUGGUGAUAAGAAAAUCUUAAUCAUUUUCUAGUUUUCUUUGAUAAUGUUUCCUAAAAAUGGAAAAUCUGUAACUGAGGAGCUCAAGUUUUAUCGAUUUUCCUCUUCAGCCUUUCUAUUAUGCCCUGAGAUAUUAUUAUUAGUAUAAGAAUUGGUUAAAAAGGAUGUUGGGUUUUUUCUUUUUGGAUGGUUGCUGAAUUUUCGCCAUUAUUGGUUAAGAUUAAUGUGAAGUGUUUUUGGAAAGUAUCGUCCUUUUUGGAGGGUUGCUGAAUUUUUCCCCAUUGCUUUGUUUUAUACAUUCUUUUGGUUAAUGGCUGGAAUAUUCCUGGCAGAGGGAAUAAUUUAAGGCCAAUUUGCAGUAUUAAAUUUAGAGACCUAAAUGGAUGUGGGGGGUUUUUUUUCUUAUAGGAUGUAAUUGCACAAAGAUUUGGGUGAAUGAUUUCUUGAAUUGAAGGGUUCUUGCUGCUUACUUCAUACUCUACAACUCAUACUUCUUUUGGAGGACAGAUGCAUUGGAUUGGGUUUAAGUAAAUAUCCUAGGGUACUUAUUUCUGCCAUGAACAGCGAGCUACCCACUUCUCCAUUUUGUCUUUAAGAAUGAAAAUGAUAGCAUGAUUCAUUUCAGGAAUGGUAUAAGUUAUAUCUUUAGAAUCUGAAUGGUAUAAGUUAGGAUUAGAAAAUAAAUGCAUUACAGGAAUUCUUAAUAAUUAAUUACUCCUAUUAAUUGCUUUACCUUAAUGUUCUGUUCUGUACUUAUUAAUUAAAUUGGUAUCAAAACCAAAUUAAUAAGAUACAAUUAAUGUAAUCAUCAUUAUGAGAUUUGGGUUAUCAAUUUGAAUUCAUAGCAUAACAAGAUUUGAUUUUGGUCAAUCCACAUCAAACAUAACAGGUUUCUGUUGUGAUAGAGAAUUUGAUCCCCAAUCAAGCUUUAUUUAUGUUGAUGAUGAGUGACUUAAGGCUUAUGGUCUACACAUUCUAUAUUGUUUAUUGUUUAUGUUAUGGAUGGCCUAUGGGAUGUAAUGUAGUGGAUAGAUGAAUGGAUUUGUGAGAAAGGCUGGAUGGUAUAUUCAUGUUUAUUUUUAGUUCAUGAAUUUGUUUAAAAGGGCUGUAUUAUUUUCUAUGGAUCAUAAUAUAUGUAGUCAUUAUAUUCAUGUUUAUUUUUUAUUGUUUAUGUUAUGGAUGGCUAUGGAAUGUAAGAUGGCCUGGGAUGUAAUGUUUACUGACAAAGGGGCUGGAAACGGGUUUCGAAAAAAAAAAAAAAAAACCGCAGAUUUUACCCGACCUUAACAAGACCAGACCAGAGAAGUGUGAUAAUUUGUCACACUUCCUACAUUGAGAUUUUUUCAGUAUGUUUUUUGCUCAUAUUUUUGCUGCCCAUUAAGCUGCAACUUAUAACUGUAUAUAUACUCACUUACAUGAACGUAGAUAAUUUUUGUUGAUCUCUCAUGAAUGCUUUUCUCCAUCAAAUCAGCUCCCAGCUGCAGCUAGUUAUAAUGGUAAGAAAAUAAACUGACCCAAGUAAUCAAGUCAGCUCUUUUAUUAUUGCUCAUUUUAGUUGAUAGGAUGUCAACAGCAAAUUCUUCAUCUUCUCUUGGUAACCGUACUUUGGUGAACAACCCAAUAUGCACUUGUGGCCAACCCGCUUCACUUAGAACUUCAACUACGAUGACAAAUCCGGGACGAUCAUUCUUUGGGUGUCCAAAGUAUAAUAAACAGGGAUUACCACAUUGCAACUACUUCAAAUGGGCAGAUAUCAGUGAGGAAAUUGAAAUAGAACGUAUGAAGAUCGAAAUUCUGAGGUUAAGAAAUGAGCAAGAGCUUCGAAGAAGAGAGGAAGAGAUUUUGAAGAGGGAGUUGGAAGUCCACAAUGAUCGACUGGAUAUUCAAAAGCAACGAGCAGACAUCCGACAUGAACGCACACUUCUUCGUAGCUAUUGUGUGAUUUUAAUUUUAAUUGUAAUGUACUUCGUACGACCAUAGUGAAUACUGGUCUGAUAAUGGGUGAUUGAUAUACAUAUUAAUGUAGUUGGACAAAAGCUCAUCACAUGUAUAUAUUAGAUCCAUGUGUAUGUAGUCACCAUAGUGACCUUAGUAUGUUGUAACCUUCUGAAUGUAGCUGGGAACUGGAUUAUCUACCUGGAGUUACAGAUUAGCUGUCCAGAUUUGUAUGUAUUGUGGAUUAUUUAUAUAUAGCAGGUGUAACUGCAACGUUGGAAGAA
Carya illinoinensis is the source of this 3368-nucleotide RNA transcript. RefSeq lists it as uncharacterized. The record is from RefSeq and is a predicted model, not a curated record. The transcript has 3 exons. NCBI's taxonomy places the organism in Eukaryota, Viridiplantae, Streptophyta, Magnoliopsida, Fagales, Juglandaceae.